Long non-coding RNA from Tigriopus californicus, 2949 nucleotides. RefSeq lists it as uncharacterized. The transcript is spliced from 2 exons. NCBI's taxonomy places the organism in Eukaryota, Metazoa, Arthropoda, Copepoda, Harpacticoida, Harpacticidae. The record is from RefSeq and is a predicted model, not a curated record.
GCCAAGUGUGCUAAAGAUAUCGAGAGACGCACAACGAAAUCCUACCUCGAGUGUGAAGUUCGUGAGAAUUUCUUUUAUGAUUCUUGCUUCGGAAUCCCGAUGGAACCGGUGAGACUGCUUGGUAAAUCUGAGUAUCUUGCCGAAGGCCAAAACGCCCACAACAAACUUUCGGCCAAGCAAAAUAGUCUUGAGACCAGGAUUGUGCGUCUGGAGGAGAAAAACGAAUGAUCCAAUUCCGAAGAAAAAGAAUCAGCGGACCAGAUCUUUGACGAGUUAGAAGAUCUGUGAAGAAGAAACUCGAACCUUACCAAUCUACCUGAAUCAACUCUGACCAACGCUCAAGAUCGAAUCAACACAGACAUUCAGUCCAUUGUAAGCUACGCCCCCGGAAAUGAAAUUAGUAUCUCUGAGUCCGACAUUGAGAAAUGCUACAGGGUAGGGAGGUUGGUACAAUCUGAAAAACCCCGCCCGCUAAUUGUCCGGUUCGUGAGCCAAAAAAUAUUUCAGGACGAAAAAGCCUACGAUGAUCUCCUAAUGAGUCCAAGGUUAAGGUAUCCCCUGAUCUGACUAAACAACAACAAGCGAAACUGCGAACAGCUUACCAAGCAACCAACGCAAAAAAAGUAAAAGUAGUACCUGGAAAAAAGUGGAUAGUGAGCAAAUCACGCGACCGCCAAAGAGUAAUCCUUAUAAAAGACCCAAACAAAGAGCGAUCCACGAAAAGUAUUGAGAGUGUGCUUUUGGAACAUUAGACGUGGAUUCCUCAACAAGGAGUCCGAAAUCUACGAAUACAAUAUUGACGUGCUGUUCCUAAUUGAGGCAGACAUUGGAUCAGUCUCGGCCACUGCUUGUGCCUCGUGCAAUUUAGAAUUAUUAGGCGACACCUUAACAGCUUAGGUGUCAACCUAAGGUGGCGAAACUUGUUGUGCUCAUCCGAUCAAGCUUGGUCAUGGAGUACGGCAGUAGUGGAGAGGAAAGCUCUCUGAAACCUCGCUAGAAGACGUCUCAGUUUUGCGUUACCCCCUAAUUGAGAGCUUAAACAUGAAAGAGGAAUUCAUUGAGCACUCUCUCAGGGGAAAUGCGUCUGAUCAGGAGGUAAAGCAUUGUUCUACAAAACCUCGCUAGCAGAAGUUCGAUCUUCGACCGAGCUUUCCACUCCACUACAGUCGUACUCCAUGGUUUGGUACGGUAUUCGGCUGUCCCUCAAUCUGGAUGGAGGUCUCACUCGGUGGAUGGAAAAUCCAAUUGUGUGGAGUUUAUAGGGAGUGGAAAGAUUCAGAUGGAAGUGGACAGGUUUCCUCCCAAAGGGAAAGUUUCCAGGGGUUCCUAGAUCAAGUAGCAACGGCCCAUACUCUUAAGAUACCGAUUAUCAUUCUGGGCGAUUUUGACUUAGAUGCAAAAUUCACCGAUACCAGCUACACUUAAAAGGCUCUUGUUCAUGAUCUGCAAACCUGCAUGGCAUUGCAUGACUUAGAGCUGCGAAGUGUUGGGGACACUCAUUUGCGUCGCCAAACGACGGUGGGUCUCUCCAUUGUUCAAUCGGUAAUCGACCUUUUAUUUGCUACAAGCACCAAGCAAGAGUUACCGUUUGGGCGAUCGCCAAUGGAAUGAGUGACUACGUUUCCCAUUACUCUAUUUCAUCUAAUUUGAUGCUUGAGUGGGCAUGCAAUAAACAAUAAAAAGAUAAACGUGCCUAUUUUGUCAAGCCUGUCGCUUUGCCAGGACGGGCCAAGAGGAGCAUGGACAUUAGUGACAAAAAGGUGCUUUGAGCGUUUUGAUUGCCUCGCAUUCAAAACACAUCUUGCGUCCCACCCAUGGGAAGACAUCGCUAUGGCAAAUGGACCAGACGAAAUGGUCAAUAUAUUUGAUGCUUUCAUUAUACAAUCUCUUGACGUGUUCGCUCCGAUCAAGACCUUUCAGAUUCCCCCAGGAUACCAAAAAGGCCUGUCUGAUGGCAUCAAAGUCCUCGUGGAAUAGCGGAACGCACUAAGAGAAGAAACUUGUGUAAUUUCUGAGUCGGCUCGGGAGGAAGCUUGGAAAAAAGCAACAAGAGGGAAGCUAAGGCAUGUGGAAGGCUCUCAGGAUAAUUACAAAGCCAGAGCAUCAUUGAUGGGUGCUGAAUUACUCGCGUUAACCAUCACCUAUAUAAUAAACCCGUCAAUAACCAGUGGCGUGUUCCCAUCAAGAUGGAAGAGAGCUAAAGUUGUCCCCAUACAUAAGAAGGGGAGACGAGAUGAAAAAGCUAACUUCCCGCCAAUCUCCCUUCUUCCCAAGACGCCCAAAAUCCUGGAGUCAAUUGUGCGGGACCCGAUGGUAGAAUUUGGUGAGACAAAUUUGCUGAUCCUCAACUCUCAGCAUGGCUUCCAGGCAAUAACCCAGAGCCUGGGUGUGCUUGGACGUUUAGCUGCUCAUCUCGCAAGGAAUGCACUUCUACCUGUGGUUCACGGUCAGGUUCUAUCAAAGUUGCGUUAUUGCCUCGCCGUGUACUAGUAAUAGUGAGCCCAGGGAACGGGACAAUGAUCGGCUCCAAGUGGUUUUGAACCGGGCCAUGCGCUUUCUUGUGGGUGCCAUAGUAUCCAAACGUCUAUCAAUAGAUAGCCUGAUCAAGACGACAGGGAUCCCCUCAGUAAAUCAAUUGGCACUCAAUGUACCCUCGCGGAGACUCGAAACGCAGUUUUGGGUGAUAUUCUUGGAAUUUCUGAACGCCUUUGCUUGAACUGAAGAGGAGCUCCAUUCCCAGACCUGUUCGGACUUGGAACAGUGUGCCUCAUGAACUAAGGGCGGAGAUGUGCCAUCAAAAGUUCAAAAUAAAAAUUCAAGCAUACCUCUCGACCCUGCCAAUUUAGAACCUCAAUUUGCUGUUUGUUUUUUCCUGCCAAGAUAAUUCAAGUAAAAAAGUGUAAUGAAGCACUUAAGAGACAAAUACAUACAAACAUACAAGAACACAAG